Molecule: ribosomal RNA, 604 nt
Filed under: uncultured fungus
Lineage: Eukaryota; Fungi
Description: SSU rRNA
Rfam family: Eukaryotic small subunit ribosomal RNA
Source: RNAcentral
GGGGACCCAGNACUUUUACUGUGAAAAAAUUAGAGUGCUCCAGGCAGGCCUAUGCUCGAAUACAUUAGCAUGGAAUAAUAGAAUAGGACGUGUGGUUCUAUUUUGUUGGUUUCUAGGACCGCCGUAAUGAUUAAUAGGGACAGUCGGGGGCAUCAGUAUUCAAUUGUCAGAGGUGAAAUUCUUGGAUCUAUUGAAGACUAACUACUGCGAAAGCAUUUGCCAAGGAUGUUUUCAUUGAUAAGGAACGAAAGUUAGGGGAUCGAAGACGAUCAGAUACCGUCGUAGUCUUAACUAUAAACUAUGCCGACUAGGGAUCGGACGAUGUUAUUUCUUGACGCGUUCGGCACCUUUCGAGAAAUCAAAGUGCUUGGGCUCCAGGGGGAGUAUGGUCGCAAGGCUGAAACUUAAAGAAAUUGACGGAAGGGCACCACCAGGGGUGGAACCUGCGGCUUAAUUUGACGCAACACGGGGAAACUCACCAGGUCCAGACACAGUGAGGAUUGACAGAUUGAGAGCUCUUUCUUGAUUCUGUGGGUGGUGGUGCAUGGCCGUUCUUAGUUGGUGGAGUGAUUUGUCUGCUUAAUUGCGAUAACGAACGAGACCU